RNAcentral lists this non-coding RNA (1079 nucleotides) under Pan troglodytes (chimpanzee). The record is from RNAcentral. Lineage: Eukaryota; Metazoa; Chordata; Mammalia; Primates; Hominidae.
UCUGAAGACAGCCUCCCACCCCACCCCACUGCAUCAUGCUCUUCCAGGACAGCUACAGGAAGAAAAGGAGAUAACAGAAUCUAAUGAUGUCCCAUAAGAUCUCCAGUCAAGGUGUGAACAUGAAGCUCCAUUUGCCUAUCUUUACCAAGAGCUUGACGAUUUGAACCACUGACUGAUUGCCCUGUACUUGGAGGAUGUGAGGAAGCAGAAUUGAGCCACUAAAGAGAAGAGGAAGAAGGAGCCACAGAACUGAGUGGGAUGUCCCCUGAGCACUCCUUGGUGGAGCAAAAGUCUUGCAAGUCUCUAGUGCGCUGGGCAGGCUGAGGGCGUUCAGCCGAGAACACAGCUCUGUAAAUACAUCAGCGAGGAUGCAUAUAUACAGUUUCCCCAGUGCUCCCUCAGACCCUUGGAGGCUGGGCUACUCCAAGCUCUGUUUCCUGCAAAAAAAUGGAGUAAGUCCUGUGGAGUCUAAAUACACAUUCCCUCUGCAUUAUGCCCACGCCUCGACUUCAUUAUAUCUAGGAGCACUGAGACAAAGAGAUUUAUAAUAAACUUCACCCAAGCCAAGAAUGAAACACUGCAGCCUCCAUGCAGCAGGAAACCCAUUGAACUGUUUCUUAUAAGCAUGUGGUUCUACGCUGUUUUUCUGCCAAAGCUUUUCCCUGCCUCCCACUUGAGGAGCAUACACCAGCUGAUUCUGCAGAUUGACUCUACAUCAUUCUCUUGUCAUGAAGCCAUGGCAUGUGUUUAUGCGUCUGUAACAAAGCGUUUAUAUUCUGCCAUCUGCAUAAAAACUGCUGAAGGACAUUUCAGCAAGAAUCCCUAUGGUUUAUGCAGCUGCAUGUUGAACAUGAAAAUCUAAGAUAUGACAGUGGUCUUUCAUUCAUACAACCUUUGAAUUUUGGUAAAGUUCUGAUAUAAUGUUAAAGAGUGGUAUUUUGAGGACUACGCAUCAAGAUAUAAACAUGGCACAUCUUUUAUAAUAUCAGCCACUGGAAGACAUUUGAAAUAAUAUUUGUAUAAUUGUGGGCUGUAUUAUCUUUCUUUCUUGCACAUAAUAAAGUUUCACUGGAAGUAAA